AGAAAGCACCAGUUGUAAACCGCGCCUCUUAUCACAGCUGGGGUUUUUAUUUAUUUUUCUUUCUCUUGCCCUUUCUAUUUCCCUACCUAUCUUUAUCCGGAUUUUUAAAUUGCCAGCGCGGGUCGGAGACUGUAACCCCAAUUCGGAUAGAGUCUCCUGCAGCCAAGGAGCAUCCAGCAUUCGCCAUAUGAAGGAAGAAACCAGCCGUCUCUGAGGUAGAUGCUUUGCUCUGUCGGGUCUGUACUACAGGACCUACAAGAUCCAGGGAUGAUGGAGAAGCUUUUGCAGCCUUCCAGAAAAUCAGGGUUCCGAAAAGUGGAAGAAAAAAAAUUGUCCAGGAGGAAUCACAGUAAGAAGGAUAAGCUUGGAGUAUCCAGUCGCCGUGGUAACUGCCAGAAAAAUCCUCCUGAAGUUUGA
RNAcentral lists this long non-coding RNA (417 nucleotides) under Phascolarctos cinereus (koala). RNAcentral describes it as "lncRNA (ENSPCIG00000001860.2)". The stretch from base 117 to 216 matches the Rfam family "SOX2 overlapping transcript exon 4". Lineage: Eukaryota; Metazoa; Chordata; Mammalia; Diprotodontia; Phascolarctidae. The record is from RNAcentral.